Molecule: unclassified non-coding RNA, 395 nt
Filed under: soil metagenome
Description: partial contains 5.8S ribosomal RNA, internal transcribed spacer 2, and large subunit ribosomal RNA
Rfam family: 5.8S ribosomal RNA (bases 1-122)
Source: RNAcentral
GAUGAAGAACGUAGCGAAAUGCGAUACUUGGUGUGAAUUGCAGAAUCCCGUGAACCAUCGAGUCUUUGAACGCAAGUUGCGCCCGAAGCCAUCAGGUUGAGGGCACGUCUGCCUGGGCGUCACAUAUCGUUGCCCAAUGCCUAUUGCAGUGCAAUAGGAAUUUCUAGGGCGAAUGAUGGCUUCCCGUGAGCGUUGUUGCCUCGCGGUUGGUUGAAAAUCGAGUCCUUGGUAGGGUGUGCCAUGGUAGAUGGUGCUCGAGUUAGAACGAUACCGAUCAUGUGCAUGCUCCCCAAAAUAUGGCCUCUAUGACCCACACGCGUCUUUUGACGCUCAUGACGAGACCUCAGGUCAGGCGGGGCUACCCGCUGAAUUUAAGCAUAUCAAUAAGCGGAGGA